This 608-nucleotide ribosomal RNA is filed under the name Agabus faldermanni. RNAcentral's name for it is "partial 16S ribosomal RNA". It matches the Rfam family "Bacterial large subunit ribosomal RNA", at positions 1852 to 2733 of the family's 2925-position model. The record is from RNAcentral. Lineage: Eukaryota; Metazoa; Arthropoda; Insecta; Coleoptera; Dytiscidae.
GUUUGACCUGCCCACUGAAAUUAUUUGAAGGGCCGCAGUAAUUUGACUGUGCAAAGGUAGCAUAAUCAUUAGUUUUUUAAUUAAAAGCUUGUAUGAAGGGUUGGACGAGGUAAAUUCUGUCUCUAUUUAAUUUAAUAUAGAAUUUAAUUUUUAAGUUAAAAAGCUUAAAUUUUUUUAAAAGACGAGAAGACCCUAUAGAUCUUUAUAAUAUUAAUAUUAAUUUUAAUUAAGAAUAUUUUAUUUUUUAUUAUUUAUAUUAUUUUAUUGGGGUAAUAGGAAGAUUAAUUAAAUUCUUUUUUUUAUUUUUACAUUAAUAAAUGAUUAUGUGAUCCAGUUUUAUUGAUUAGAAGAUUAAGUUACCUUAGGGAUAACAGCGUAAUUUUUUUAGAGAGUUCAUAUCGAUAAAAAAGUUUGCGACCUCGAUGUUGGAUUAAAAAUUAUCUUAGGUGCAGAAGUUUAAGAUUUUGGUCUGUUCGACCAUUAAAUUUUUACAUGAUCUGAGUUCAGACCGGUGUAAGCCAGGUCGGUUUCUAUCUUUAAUAAAAUAAAAUAUUUUAGUACGAAAGGACCAAGUAUUUAAUAUAUUUAUAUUUAGUUUUUUUGAAUAU